This 253-nucleotide ribosomal RNA is filed under the name uncultured bacterium. RNAcentral describes it as "partial 16S ribosomal RNA". It matches the Rfam family "Bacterial small subunit ribosomal RNA", at positions 524 to 776 of the family's 1533-position model. The record is from RNAcentral.
UACAGAGGGUGCAAGCGUUGUUCGGAUUUACUGGGCGUAAAGGGCGUGUAGGCGGAUACUUAAGUCGGGGGUGAAAGGCCAGGGCUCAACCCGGGAUGGUCUCUCGAAACUGGGUAUCUAGAGAAAGUCAGAGGCAGGUGGAAUUCCUGGUGUAGAGGUGAAAUUCGUAGAGAUCAGGAGGAACACCGGCGGCGAAGGCGGCCUGCUGGGACUUUUCUGACGCUGAGGCGCGAAAGCGUGGGUAGCAAACAGG